AGUCGUAACAAGGUCUCCGUAGGUGAACCUGCGGAGGGAUCAUUAAACUCAUCUCAAUUUAUUACCUGUAACCCGCCUUAAACCGGGCACACCGGGAACGGGCCUGAUAGACUUCACGGUUUGUCGGGUGGCAACCCAAUAACCAAAACCUUUUUUAACUUUGUCCAUUUCCCGGCUUCCGAAAGGUUGUCGGUUUUCCAUCAAACACCAUUACCGGUGGAUGACUCGGCUCA
This 233-nucleotide unclassified non-coding RNA is filed under the name fungal sp. RNAcentral describes it as "partial internal transcribed spacer region". The stretch from base 1 to 45 matches the Rfam family "Eukaryotic small subunit ribosomal RNA", at positions 1787 to 1831 of the family's 1831-position model. The record is from RNAcentral. Lineage: Eukaryota; Fungi.